GACGAACGCUGGCGGCGUGCUUAACACAUGCAAGUCGAACGGAAAGGCCCUGCUUUUGUGGGGUGCUCGAGUGGCGAACGGGUGAGUAACACGUGAGUAACCUGCCCUUGACUUUGGGAUAACUUCAGGAAACUGGGGCUAAUACCGGAUAGGAGCUCCUGCUGCAUGGUGGGGGUUGGAAAGUUUCGGCGGUUGGGGAUGGACGCGCGGCUUAUCAGCUUGUUGGUGGGGUAGUGGCUUACCAAGGCUUUGACGGGUAGCCGGCCUGAGAGGGUGACCGGCCACAUUGGGACUGCGAUACGGACCAGACUCCUACGGGAGGCAGCAGUGGGGAAUAUUGCACAAUGGGCGGAAGCCUGAUGCAGCAACGCCGCGUGCGGGAUGACGGCCUUCGGGUUGUAAACCGCUUUCGCCUGUGACGAAGCGUGAGUGACGGUAAUGGGUAAAGAAGCACCGGCUAACUACGUG
Molecule: ribosomal RNA, 468 nt
Filed under: uncultured bacterium
Lineage: Bacteria
Description: partial 16S ribosomal RNA
Rfam family: Bacterial small subunit ribosomal RNA
Source: RNAcentral